GACGUCACUAAAAUCACCGAUAAUGAGAUCAAAAUUAAUCCAAGAUGGCCGACAGCAAAUUAUUUUAAGUCAAAAUAUUUGAAGUAAUAAUAAAGUUACGCAAAAUCGGCAAAGGAGAUUAACAUAUAAUUUUAAAAGUUCUUUAAAAUAAAAUAAUAAAAAUAUAUAUUGCCGUAUCCCUUUAAGAACGUAAGGGAAAGUACAUCUAUUACACCGAGGGAGGGGGAUGAAGAUGUCUUGAAAAAAGCUCAUAUUUUUACAGGGCCUCUGUUGAGGUUAUCGGUAAAUUUCGAUGCCCCCCUCCAAGUUUUUAAAAUUCGGAAUCGAAGGAGUACAAUCCAGAAUUCUCUCUUAUCAUAGAUACAAUUUGCAGUUCCUCAAGAUGUCUGAUAUACUCAAGCAUUGGGUCUGGGGGUCCUCACCCAGAAAAUUAUUACAUUUUUGAAGCUCUAGGACUGAAUUUCUGGCGUUUUCUAAAGCAAAUUUCGCAAACAAAUUGCAUGUAAAUUGACUGUAUUUUACAAAAAUAGUUAUCAUUUCACAAAAAUAAUUACUUUAUUACGCAAAUUUUACCUGAAAAUGUAAAAAUUUUAACUUUAAUUUGCUGGGGUCAAACCUUUGAAAAGUUUAGAG
Molecule: non-coding RNA, 633 nt
Organism: Paramuricea clavata
Lineage: Eukaryota; Metazoa; Cnidaria; Anthozoa; Malacalcyonacea; Plexauridae
Source: the annotation of a GenBank genome assembly